UUUUUUUUGGGUUUGGUUUUGGUUUGUUUUGUAGUACUGGGGAUCAAACCAGGGUCUCACACCUGCUAGGCAUGUGCUCUACCACUGAGCUACAUCCCCAACCCUUUUUAUUUUAUUUCAUUCAGUGUCUUACUAAGUAGCUCAAGCCAACUUUGAACUUGUGAUGGUCUUGCCUCAACCUCCCAAAUAGUUGGAAUUACAGAUUUGCACUACUGUAUCCAACUAAUGAUUAGGAAGCUUUUAUCCUGUCACAGAUAACAUAGGUAUCUAUCCUCUAGGGGCAAAUGAGAUGGGAAUAAUGAAAGCACAAUAAAGAAUGCUAAAUAAUGAAAAGGUGUGGAGGUUAUGCAGUCAGUUCAGGUUGCAAGCUCGGGGAGAUGGAGAAUGAGGAAACUGACCUGAGUCUGGAAGGAGAGGCCAGGUGGGUACCAGGGAGCACAGAGGGCUGGGUAAGGGGCACAAGAAGAGCACAAGCAGGAGCAAUCCUGUUCUUAGACAUCAAAAACCAACUACAUAGGAGCUGGGGUUGUGGCUCAGAGGUAGAGCUCUUGCCUAGCAUGUGUGAGGCCCUGGUUUCGAUCCUCAGCACCACAUAAAAAUAAAUAAAUAAAAUAAAGGUAUUGUGUCCAACUACAAUUGAAAAAUAAAUAUUUUUAAAAAAUUGUUUAAAAAAAAAGCCAACUACCAAGUUCAAAUUCUUUCUGGUGUGGAACUCCCUGCCGACAUUUCUGGCAAGCAGUGUCCCAGAAUCAUCUCGAACAUCCCCAGGAAUGGAGAGCUUAUUGCCUCCCGAGACAGCCCAUUUCAUUUAUGAGCAUCUGCUUUUCCUUCCUCUGAG
RNAcentral lists this long non-coding RNA (838 nucleotides) under Marmota monax (woodchuck). The record is from RNAcentral. Lineage: Eukaryota; Metazoa; Chordata; Mammalia; Rodentia; Sciuridae.